Molecule: ribosomal RNA, 234 nt
Filed under: uncultured Lactobacillaceae bacterium
Lineage: Bacteria; Bacillati; Bacillota; Bacilli; Lactobacillales; Lactobacillaceae
Description: partial 16S ribosomal RNA
Rfam family: Bacterial small subunit ribosomal RNA
Source: RNAcentral
UGAGUAACACGUGGGAAACCUGCCCAGAAGCGGGGGAUAACACCUGGAAACAGAUGCUAAUACCGCAUAACAACUUGGACCGCAUGGUCCGAGUUUGAAAGAUGGCUUCGGCUAUCACUUUUGGAUGGUCCCGCGGCGUAUUAGCUAGAUGGUGGGGUAACGGCUCACCAUGGCAAUGAUACGUAGCCGACCUGAGAGGGUAAUCGGCCACAUUGGGACUGAGACACGGCCCAA